CUCAGUUGCUGAAUUCACAGGCCCUCGUAAGAUGUGAGUAAACUAUCCUUAAUGUACAAGUUUAUGAGAUAUUUAUACCAGUGGGAUUUUAUGUUUAACAUUAUUGCAGAAUUCUGGCUGUUUUUCGAGCAGUGAUCAGUUUCUUGAAACAACAAUUCUUGUUUAAUAUGAAGGUGCAUGCAUCAUACUUUGUUCCCAAAAUAAAUGUGUAUAUCAAGAAUAGCAUUAAAAGUGCCUCUUUGCAUGGCAUAAAAGUGCCCUUUGAGUUCAACCACCCAUGAAAACUGGUCUUUAAAAAAUGGUCUGUGCCACCUCCUGGCUCAGGCAUCCUUGCCCCUAAAGCUACCUCGUCCAAAGUUGUCUCCCUGGCUAGACUGAUGGUGGUGGUCUUAGACUUCCCCCAGGCUUUGGAAGCUAGGGAGUUUCAGCAUUCAUGCUGUCUCAAACAGCUACGGACAUUAUGACAGCCAUGGGGCUACCCCAUAUAUAUGAGAGUCAACCCACCAGUUACAACAGUCAGCCAACUGCGUAUUAUAAGGGAGCAAUGCAAUACUCAAAAAAACUGUUGUACAGCAAACCGAUGUAUAUGAGGCAAGCAUAAAUUUACCGUAUUUUUCGUCCCAUAGGACGCACCGGCCCAUAGGACGCACCUAGUUUUUUGGGGGGGAAAUAAAGGAAAAAAUGUUUUCCUUUAUUUACCCCCCAAAACCAGGUCGGGGAAUCCAAACCAGGUCGGGGAACAGCAGGAUGGUGGCGCUGCGCCUCCCCGCUGUCCCCCAAGCUUGUGGCGCUGCCCGAUGUCUGCCCGAAGCGCAAGGCGCUCUGCUUCAGGGCGCCCCGCGCGCCAGGCAGCAGGCUGCUAUCUGCACCUAGGGAGCCCUGCGGGAACUCCUGCGGACUCCCCAGGCUUGCUGAUAGCUUGCUGAAGCCUGGAGAGCGAGAGGGGUCGGUGCGCACCGACCCCUCUUGCUCUCCAAGCUUCAGCGAAAGCCUGCAUUUGCCCCAUAGGAUGCACCCAGAUUUCCCCUUCAUUUUUGGAGGGGGAAAAAGUGCGUCCUAUAGGGUGAAAAAUACGGUAUAUCAAAUCAAACCUCUGGUCAACAGUGAGACUGCUCCUGGAUGAGCCAGCCUAAGCCUGGCAGAGGGAAAGCAAGUCUUUAAAAUAGAGUCUGAGUUACAUCACCCUUUUGGUCUGUCUGUAGUGUAGUGGCAAAGUUAGAAGAGGGCAAAGACCCAUCAUGACAGUCAGACACCAGACUUCCACACAGCUGUGCCCUCUUGUAAGAUUAUUCAAUAAAACUGAGCUUUCUGUCUCUUUGUUUGGAGUUCUGUUGAGCAAUGGGUGCAGGAUGACGUACGUAGUUUUGAGAUUCAGCAAGAAGGCAAUGACAGGGAGAGCAAAAGGUUUAGCGGCUGCAUUUGCAGAGAAUAAAUUACAGCGUGUGCACUCAGAGCAGAAGGGGAUGUUUUGGUGGGGGGGGGGGUUGCAGAGCAAAGUAAAGCAGUUUUUAAGAGUUUCAACAAUGCAGCUUUAGAAUAGUGUCUGUUUCACUUACAAUAUUUUCACUGCCAAUUUUUCUUCUAAAGUCGUUGCGAGUCAGCAAGGGACAUUACUCCAAGCUGGAGGGGGGGGCAACCUGUGGCCUUUCAAAAGUUGUUGGACUAAAGUUCCCAGCAUCCCUCACCCUUUGUGAUGCUGGCUGGGGCCCGUUGCAGAGGAAGUCCCGCAAUGCCACCCCUGCUUUAAUCAGUGGUUUCUUUGCGAAAGCAAAAAUUGUACAGUGGUGCCCCGCAAGACGAAUGCCUCGCAAGACGGAAAACCCGCUAGACGAAAGGGUUUUCCGUUUUGGAGGUGCUUCGCAAAACGAAUUUCCUAUGGGCUUGCUUCGCAAGACGAAAAUGUCUUGCGAGUUCCUGCGGGUUUUUUUUCCUUCCCCCCCCCCCUUUUUCCCAAGCUGCUAAGCCACUUAUCAGCUGAUCCGCUAAGCCACUAAGCCGCUUAUCAGCUGAUCCACUAAGCCCGCUAAUAGCGCUAAUCCCCUAAACCGCUAAUGGGCUUGCUUCGCAAGACGAAAAAACCGCAAGACGAAGAGACUCGCGGAACGGAUUCUUUUCGUCUUGCGAGGCACCACUGUACAAGACUCGAGAGCACCCUUCGCAACCUGUGCUCUACAUUACACAGUUAACAUUAAAACCGAAUGCCAAGUUAGCAAUCAUUUUCUCAUCUAGCGAGGUGAGGAUUAGUCAGCGAGGCAAAUCACGCAGAGUGGCCUCCAAAUCUGACCUUUCGUGUAAGUCAUUCCGUUUAUCUUCAUUAGAUCUAACCUUUCAAAAGCAAAUCUUCAUUACAGGCUACACUUCUGAAGGCAGCUUUGUGAACAGAGAUGUGCUACGGAGAUGUCUGAGCUUUAGCGGGCAAUCCUAUGGCAAGAUCUGCUGGGAUGGGCAGCUUAGGAUGCAGCGGAUCUCUGGAUCCGCUGGCUGAUUCCCCACCCGUGGUUCAGCCAAAGAUAACACCAGCAUAACUUAUUCAUUCUGGCUCAGCCAGUUGAGCUGCAUCUGUCUGAGCUGAGUCCGGUCUAAUUCCCCCAAAAGGGGUAAUCCAGAAGUGUGGCAGGUGCGAAACCAAAGAGGGGGAACUUAGGCUGGAUCCUAAGUCUGUUCGGUUCAGUCACAUGACCUGGCAACCUGACGUAGAACACUAUGGCAAAGGCUGGUUUUCCAUCUUCCAGGCUUAGGCAGAGAAGCAGCCCCUGCUGCUGAACAGGGCUUAAAUCUGAUGUAGAUUUAUUCUGCCAAGAAAACUCCAUGGACAUAAAAAAGGAGAAGCUUUGAGAGGAAAGUGAGUUUCUCCAAGGCAUGCUCUGGUUCAUAGGGUCACGGAGAGUCGACACAACUAAGACGACUAAACAACAACAGAUUUACCCCAUCUUAAUUUACACCAGCUUGCUUCGCACCAGCUUCUUAUGCAUAGAAUUGUUCCCUUAGUGUGUGCACUGCUGAACAUCUCAGCUGAGAGUGAAGGCUCUCCUAUUUCUGCCAGUGUUUGCUGGGGUUCCUGACUUGAAUGUAUUCUGUGUAACUUAUUCAAGUCUGCUCGGGUUUCUGUGAUGGGUUUUUUACUAUUUGAUGUAAUACAGCUGAAGUUACAUUUGAUGCCAGGAUAUAUUUAAUCCUAUUUGAUUCCUGAGUGAAGCAAGCAAUACCUAAGCAAAUCAACAUGUUUUAAUAUGCUUCAGUUCAAUGCGCUUGAUGUGAACUGCUGCCCAAAGAGACUCAUUAUUCCCACUAGAAUAAAGUUUCUUUCUUUGAGAUGACAUUAAUAAGCAAGUCGUGACUCCGGAUAGAAAUUUCUUUGUCUAUUAAUAACUUUGAAAGUUUCAUCCACUUAGACCGGCUCUGUGACAUUUAAUAUCUAUCCCUCCUAAAGGUGAUAUUUGACAAAGAGAAAACCCAAGUCAUAAAGUUACUGCUUUGAAUGUCUUAGAAAUCUCUGCUAAGAUAAGGUAAGGUAAGGUAAGGUGAAUCUCUAUGCGUUCCUGGGAUAGAAUCUCUUUUCUCCUGUGGCCACCACAGAACCUUUGUAGAGCAGGUAUGAGUAGUUUUAUGUGCUCUGGGUUUCUUUGUUUCUUUGUUUCUUUUUCUUUGAUAUGCAAAGUCUUAAUAAACAGAGAGAGAGAGAGAGAGAGAGAGAGAGAGAGAGAGAGAGAGAGAGAUCUUCUAGGGACCGGAGGGAGAGCUUUUUUAAAAACACAAACACAAAAACUUACACAGCGUUAUCCCAAAGAGAUCCUACUGAGUUCAAAGGGGCUUGCAAGUAUGUGAAUACAGCUACAGCUGUACCUUGGUUCUUGAACGGAAUCCAUUCAGGAAGUCUGUUCAACUUCCAAAAACAUUCAAAAACCAAGGCGCAGCUUCUGAUUGGCUGCAGGAGCUUCCUGCACUCAAUCGGAAGCUGCGGAAGCCGUGUUGGACGUUCAGCUUCCAAAGAACAUUUGCAAACCGGAACACUCACUUCCGGGUUUGCGGCAUUCAGGAGCCAAAAUGUUUGAAUCUCAAGGUUUUUCCCAGAACCAAGGUGCAACUGUAUAGGAUUGUAGCCUUAGUAAGUCAGUUGCCUAUUUAGUUCAACACUGAACUGAAUAGGCAACUGACGUGUACAAAUUCAGACAUCAGUCUGUGUUGGCUCCUUGGGGACAGGUUGGGAUAAAAGAAAAAGUAAUAAAGGGUAUGAAGCUAUGAAUUACAUUUGAAGAGGAGGAGGCUGGAAUCUUGACCGACUAGAGAGGUAAAAGGAAGAGGGUAUGAAUAAAGCCACAAUGUGAUGCUGUUCUUGUUAGAUCUAUUUCCUGCCCUUCACCAGAAAGUCCCAGGGUGCUUUAUAGCAACGUAAAAUGCACAAUUUUAAAAAAAACGCAACUGGAAUGGGUCCUAAAAAUAUGUCUCUUGUGCCAACGUAAAGGUAAAGGGGCCCCUGACCAUUAGGUCCAGUCGUGACCGACUCUGGGGCUGCAGCGCUCAUCUCACUUUAUUGGCCAAGGGAGCCGACGUACAGCUUCCGGGUCAUGUGGCCAGCAUGACUAAGCAGCUUCUGGUGAACCAGAACAGCACAAGGAAACGCCGUUUACCUUCCCACCAGAGUGGUCCCAAUUUAUCUACUUGCACAUGACGUGCUUUCGAAGUGCUAGGUUGGCAGGAGCAGGGACUGAGCAACGGGAGCUCACCCAGUCACCCAGGAUUCGAACCGCCAACCUUCUGAUCGGUAAGUCCUAAGCUCUUUGGCUUAACCCACAGCGCCACCCACGUGUGUCUGCAGCAUAAGAUGAAGAUAUUACAAUGGAGGUACCAAAGGAGGUGGUUUCCAAACACCUGACAGCCAUAGGGCUAUUAGCCACUUGAGAACUGCAGCGUCAGCAUCUUUCCUGUGGCACCAAGCAAUUUGCACUGAGCCUGCUGCUGAAACAGAGCUUUCCACCUCCAUUUUAGCAGCAGUUUCAAUGCAAACCACUUGGGGAUAUCGGAAGAAGACAUGUUCCCCCUGCUCAUCAGGUGGGAGCGUACCUCGCUCUGGCAAAGGAAGAUCAGGAGCUCACUUUAAGUUCCCGAUUGUUCCUUUGCCGUCAUGUUGAUACCUGCACCAGACUAGAAGUCUCAUAAGACACCAGGUGAGCGGCAGGGGGCAGUGGUUUAGAGAAAUUGCCUCAUGGGGCAAAUGGGGCGGCUGGGCAGGCACAUUUGGCCCUCAGGCCUGAGGUUUCCGACCUCUGCUAUAGCCCCUCAGCCAGCAGAAGUUGAGGACAGGAUUGUACCCUUAGGUUGCAGCCUGACAUUCCUGGGAGUGUGUCUCAUUGUACACAUGUUAAAUGCAAACUGUUAAUGGUUGUACUGUGGAAAAUGGAAAGCAUAAAUAGCAUUUUGAAGCACAAUUUGAGGCAAAAUAGAACCUGUAAUUCUAGGUCUCAAGAUCAAUGGGUGUUGUUUUUUUAAGUGCCUUUCUUACCAUGUUGGAUUAAAAAGAAAGAAAGAAAGACAAUUUAUUCCUAUAAACCUUUCUGAGCUGGUAUUGACAGGGGCAGCAUGAAAAUUCUGUGAGAACGAAACAAAUAUUUGUCGGAUGGCUUAGCAUUGGAUUUUCCCAACACUCUUAAUCAGAUGAAUUGACUACAUGUGGCUGAAUACAUUCAAUACUGUAAAUGCACCUGUGAUCCAGAGACUCUUUUUCCAUUAUGUUGGGAACAAAUUAUGGUGUGAACUUUCAAUCCUGGUUCGUCCGUGGAUGUGAAAUCAUUGAAGUAAUGUAAGAAGAGCUUUAUAUUAAAUCAGGCACUGGGGGAUAUAAUAAUCUCCCUCCAAAGGCUCAGAUCGUUAACAGAGUUAGCAAAUAAUCUGUACUUCCCUGCGGCUGAGAAAUAUAUCUGUAAGCCAGAGAUAAGAAAACAGAUGAAGAAAGGAGAGAUAGAGAAAACCGCCCCAUCAAUUGAUGGAUAUUGUUCAUAAGCCACCAUGAAUAACACAUGUGCCGGGCACAUUUUAUGGCACCCAUAAACAAGAAGAGCCCCCAAAUCAGUGAAAAAUUGCCCAAACUUUAUUGAUUACAGUGCCUUGGGGUCUGGCGUGGCAGAAGGCAAGGAUCUGCCCACCUGUGAUGGCCUGGGACUCGGGCUCGGAACCAGAGGAGUCUCAGUCUGCACCGGAUCCUUUGCCUCAGGCAUCAUCUGAACCAAGUCUGGGGCCUGAUCCUGAAGAGUCCCAGUCUGCACAGGUGCCCCUGCAACAAACACCAGCUGGGCCGAGUCAGGGGCCUGAGCCUGCCCUGGCUCCAGAUGCGGGGAUUACCUCGUUGCCUUCAGCUGGGCCAUCACUUACAGCUGCUCCACUACCAGUUGGGUCAGGAGAGGCUGAGGCAGCCUCUGGGUCUAGUAACCCACCGACAUCUCCCGAGCUGCAGAGACUAAGGUCUGAGAGAAGGAGAGACCUGAGUACUCGCAGGAGGAGUGCUUGCCUUUGGGCAAAACAGGGAGGUGAGUCGCCGGGGGAUCAGGACCGGCUAUUACCCUGACAAAUAUAAAAGGCUGUCGGACCCUGCCCCAGGUUGCAGGAGCAACAUUGCUAUAUGCCAGACCCUGCCUGAGAUCCUGUACCUGUCCUUGCCUGGUUUCCUGCCUCGUGUCCUUCCUUGGCCCUGUCAGACUGACUCCUAGUGGAACCUUCAGAUUCUGGACCGGACCUGGUCCACGUUGCUCGGGUUACCCCGAAGCCUAGCACACCACCCUACUACCCUGAUGCUCUUCCCAGCCUUCUUCCUGGUUUACUGGUAAGAGUUACUUAGGAGAGAUUCCCUGGGGAAAGGGAUUGACCAUUAAACCACUCUGAGAAUUGUAGAUCUGGGGGGCGGGGAGAGACACACUGCUCAGCACCCUUAACAAACUACGCUUCCCAGAAUUAUUACGAGGAAGCCAUGGCUGUUUAAAGUGGCAUGAUACUGCUUUAAAUGGCUAAUGCAGAUAAGACCUUAGACAUAAACUUUGGGGCAUCCAAAAAGAUUGUGAAGAAGCCAAAUACUGAGUGCUGAAGAGGUGAAGAGAAUGGUGCUGGCUGUCAAUAAGGUGGCCAGUGGAGAUUGUUGCUUUUACCCUAAAAAUGUUUGGCAUAGAGAUGGGGGGGGGGACCCCUCUAGAUAGCCUGCCUUUUCACAGCUGAAUAAUUGGCAAACGGGGGGACCAUUCAGAUCCAUAAAUACAAUUUUAAAUUCAUCAUAUUUUUAGGACAUAAUUUGAUAUAUUCCAUUUCCAACGAAAGCGUCAAUGCUAGAAAUGCCAAACCUGGGGUGUAUAACCCAGUCUGAACUGCACCUACCUAUGUGGCUUGGGGGAACGGGUGGCGCUGUGGUCUAAACCACUGAGUCUCUCGGGUUUGGUGAUCAGAAGGUCGGUGGUUCGAAUCCCCGCAACGGGAUGAGCUCCCAUUGCUCUGUCCCAGCUCUUGCCAGCCUAGCAGUUCGAAAGCACACCAGUGCAAGUAGAUAAAUAGGUACUGUUGUGGCAGGAAGGUAAACAGCGUUUCCGUGUGCCCUGGUUUCCGUCACGGUGUCCCAUUGCGCCAGAAGCGGUUUAGUCAUGCUGGCCACAUGACCUGGAAAGCUGUCUGUUGCCAAACGCUGGCUCCCUUGGCCUGAAGCGAAAUGAGCGCUGAAACCCCAUAGUCACCUUUGACUGGACUUAACUGUCCUGGGGUCCUUUACCUUUUUUUACCUUUACCUAUGUGGCUAGCAGUGGGCUGUAGACAUAUCACAUAGGAAGGGCAUUGAAAAUGAAUGUCUUUUAUUUUAUUUCAUUUAAAAAAAAAUAAUUGAUGAAUGUUAGAAUGAUGUUGGAAUGAAUCUAUGUGAUUUUAGCAAAAAUGUAUCAAAGAUUUAAGAAAAAUAGACUGUUAAUUGGUGAAAAGAGGGAAAGUAAACAUAGUAAGAUCAAGAUAAAUUUUCAGGAUAAGAAUUUUGAAGAGAGGGAAAGGAUUUGCUGAAAUGGAUAAUUGACUUAGAAUACAAAAAAGGGAGGUGUGAGGAGGUCAGGGAAACAAGCAUAUGAAAGAUAAGUUAUGGGAAGGCUCGAUUUGUCUUUUUUUUUUGGUACGUUGUUUUUAAGUGUUUUUAUUUCCUUGUUUUUUAUUGUGAUGGGUUGUUCUACUAUUGUCUAAUCUGGUGUUGUUGUUUUUUUCUGUUUUCUUUUGCCUUUUUGUAAACUUAAAAUCUUCAUAAAUACUAUUUUUUAAAAAAAGAAAAUGAAUGUCUUUUAAAGGUAAAGGGAACCCUGACCAUUAGGUCUAGUCGUGACCGACUCUGGGGUUGCGGCGCUCAUCUCGCUUUGUUGGCCGAGGGAGCCGGCGUACAACUUCCGGGUCAUGUAGCCAGCAUGACUAAGCCGCUUCUGGCGAACCAGAGCAGUGCACGGAAACGCCGUUUACCUUCCCGCUGGAGCGGUACCUAUUUAUCUACUUGCAUUUUGAGCUUUGUAUCAAGUUUUUGGAAGGGGAGAAUGAAUGCUGUAAAGGAAAAUUUAGUGUUCCAUACUGCAGUCGAUUGAAUAUUAUUUUGAACAAAGCACUUCCUUCUGCUAUAUGCAUAUGUGAAUCUGGGAGAGGGUUCAUUUAUAUUUCUACAUUCUGGAUAUCAGUUUUGUACUACGGUUUGAAAGGGAAAGGGAAAAACAGAAGAAGAAAAUAUAGUGUGAGCGGCUGGACCAGUGGAGGGGAAGGUGGUGCUGGAUGAAGCUGGUCUUUCCGCAGAGCUGAUGCAGGGAGCCCUGCUGCCCACCUGUCCACAGAGUCCAUUGGAAGGGAGGGCUGCACCUUGGUGCGGGCAAGGGAGUGAGAGGAGGCCUGGCGGAGGUCUACACCUGGAGGAAGGAGGGACGAGAAACAGCGCCAUCGGCUCUGCUUUAGACUGGCCAGCUCCCUCAAACCGCCUCUCCCUCAAUUGUCAUCUGGCAGCAGCCAUUUCAUUAGGCUGCCUCAGUGGGAGAGUUUUCUUUUCCUCAGCCCUCCUUGCCCUCUUUCCUUGUGUGUUGCAUUUCUGUUUGUUAGCUUUUUUUAUUACAGUAUAAGCCUGCAAAUAGGGAGUAUCUUGCUUUUGAUUUCAUGUAAGCCUCUCUGGGCUUACAUAUCAUAUCCCAGUGUACACAUCAGCAUAUCUAGAAAUACAUCAGAGAAAUCUGCGUUCCAAAUGUGACAUCCCUGCCUGAGGGCCUGAUCCAUUCCCCAGUCUCUGAACUUCCUGUUCCUUUGCUCUGUUUUCUCAUGAACAGGGUACUGACUUUGAUGAAGACGAAAUCUCUGAAAUCUUCCUUUUGCUUUCAAAAGCCUGCUUAUGGUGGUGAAGCUUGGGCUCUCUGAAGGAAAGGAGGCAAGAGAAGCUGCUGAGGACUUCCAGAGAAUUGAGGGAUCACAACUGUGGGUGUGAGAAGGCAGCCAUUUCCCUUCUGACACAAGCAGCCCUGUUUCAGUUCUACUAUUCAAUGAGAAGUGGGCAAUGAAUACUGUAAGCAAACAGAAUGGUAUAAAAUCCUUAAAGUAAUCAAAACAAUUAGGCCACGUGACACGUCAAACUUUUCUUACAGAAAAGCUGUUGCUUAUAACAAAACCAUUUUUUUAAACAAAAGUGCCAUUCCUCUCUCCCCUCAAUGUCCCAACCACACACUUUACUGUGUCAGAUGCGGCUGAUGUUGCUCCCGAAGUCUUCAGCGAGGAGAAGCUGAGUGCUGAACUGACAUCCAUCAUUGUGACAAUGACGAGUCGGAAGAAGCUGGUCUGAAGGAAAGCUCUGCAAGAUCUUUCUGACCUCCUGCAGAAGAUGCAGGAAUGUGUGAGUUCUUGAAGGGAAUCAUUGCAACCAUGCAGGGAUGUCAAAGCCUUCAGGCUGCCCCUACCAGGCCCACCCUGCAAGGUGCCCAAGGGACAAUCAGGUAUCGAAGCACGUAAGUGAUCUAGAGAACAGCGUUGGGUAUAGUACAGUGUUUCCUUGCAGUUGGCCUGGAUCCGCUGAGAGGUGCGCCUUGUUUUCGGCUGCACUCAAGAGUUCCCAGCUGGGAAGAAGGUUGUUGCACCCGGGUCCUGCUUGCAGGCUACUCCUAGGCAUCUAGGAGUGAGAACAGAAGUGAGGACCAGCCUCUGGACUGAGCCAACAGGGUUCUUUUAGGCUGCUGUCUACACAGCUCAGGUGCAACCUAUCUGAAAGAGUGUAUUCCCCAGUCUGCUCCAAUGGCGUCAAUGAAGCCUUGAAGCCGAAUCGCUGCCUUGGGUCUUGCUGGAACCCACCUCUCUUCCCUCAGGGCUCAGGAGGGAGACCCUUUGUGAGGGCAAUGGGCCCAUUGAGGCAGGUUCAAUAAACACACACACACCCAAUCCUAUAGUAUAACGUGGUUGCAACUGAGCCCCUCAGGUGAGCCUGUGCAUUUGCCUGGCACUGCCUGCAGCCUGUGGGGCCCAGAGAAGCCCCCCAGAGGGAUCUGAGAGGGGCUUGAGCCCCACAGCCCCCCUGAAGUUGAGCACAAAGGGCUACAUGGUCAGUUGCUGCAUCUCUGUCCAAGUACUUCUGUGGGUGGGGAAGGUCUGCUUGGCCCCAGCAGGACAGGACUUGCCUGUGGACAUAUCUCAGGCCUUUCCUUGGGCAUUGUGAAGUGUGCCUUGUUCCGCCACAUCCCUUCCAUUGGGUGUCUUGCCUUUUUGAGUUUCCAUACCUGAGGACAGGACUUGUCUCACCUUUAAAAAUAAUAAUCAGUCAGGUGCUUUAGGAGACAACAUCUGUCUGGAAAGCAGGAUAAUAAUAAUAAUAAUAAUAAUAAUAAUAAUAAUAAUAAUAAUAAUAAAAAAAUAAAAAAAUGGUACAUUUAAAAGAAUAUAUAUACCACCACCCUUGAAUUGCAUGGAAUUAACAUUGUUCUAACAACUAGGCCACACUGACUCCCCUAGAACCUUGGCAUGAUGGCCGUGCAUUCCAUGUCAUUAAUGGCUGUUGCCUAGCAACGGAGCUUGUGACCGUUUGAACUGAGGUCCCUGCAUCCUCAGCAUCUCGAGGUUGGCUCUAGUGACCUUCGCUUGGCUCAGAUGGUAACUUUACGGGAAAUCUUCUGACAAUACUCAUUGCCCUAGGGUUGGUAGCUGUUGGACGGGGUGUUCCAUUGUUUAGGAUCCUCAUUGAAUUAAAAAGAAAUAGCAGCAAAACAGUGAACUUGCGUAGUUAGAUAAAUUAAUCACACCAAUGCUCUUUGGAGAAUAAAGAUUGAGGAAUUGAUUUACCUGCAGAAAACGGUCUGAUUCCAGUCUGUCCUUGGAAUUUUCCGUGCAGAGUUGUUCAUUAAAUCACAUCUUAAUAUUUGCAACCUGCUGUAUGUCUAAGGGGAUAGUUUUCCAUUCAAAAGCUGCUUACCUUCAGAAACAGGGCAUCAACCUCCAACAGAAAGGUUCGUUGUACAGGCAGCUUCCAUGUAGAAUUGUCCAUUGAAUCUAUCAUAUUUUUAAUCUGUUAUAAAUGUUAAAUGAAAUUAUACUGGUAGCCAGAAACAUCCAUGGUUUUCCAGUUCUGGAGCAAAUAUAUAUAUAUAUCCCUGCUGUCGAAAAGAAAUGUUGAUAAUAUUAAUCUGAAUUUUAAAUAGAUUAUUGGAUCCAUGAGGCAGAGGUGGGGCAAAAAAGGGAAGGCUUAACUUUGAAACCUAAAGAACAAUUAAUCCAAUUUGUUUGUUUGCAAAAAUGUCUAAAUAUCACCAUGUCAUGGUGGUGAACUGCAUAGAAUCAACAGCAAAAUUACUUGCCAUAAAUAGAGGACAGAAUGUAAAGCAAUGGAUCAGGUUAACUUAGCUGAAUCUGGAACUCUUCAAAACAAAAGGGGAAGGGGAUAUUUCAUCCAGAAGGGUGUUAAUUUAAUUACAGUGGAUUCUGUCCACAGAGGAUUUAGCUUAUUCAAGCCCUUAGACUAGGGAGAGUGAGAAAAAUUGCAGGGAGAAAAUACAAAUAACCAGACUAUGGAAUUUCUCCAACUUUAUCUCAGAGGACUCUGGCAACUAAGCUGGAAGCCAGAUAAGAUGAACCACAAAAGUCAUUAUAUUAACAAAGCUGGAGAUUAAAAUUGACAUAAACAGACUUCCGAGGGGCGGCGCGAACGGUAAUGGCGGUCCUCUUCUGAACGGGAGAGGAGGCUCCGCAGACAACGGGUCGUCCGCUACGGCGAAGCGGAGACCCACUCCGGAAAACCCCAGGCAGCAAGAGCUUGGGGUCUUGAGGCUCGGUGGGCGCCUUAAGUGACCCUCCAAACGUGAAAGGAACCUCGUAAGGGGCUCCGGAGCGUGGAGGGGGGUUGCGGCGCUGAGAGCUGCUUCACAGUCUGCGGAGUGAAGCCGCGCUGCUGCUGCCGGUGAGCGCUGAUCCUUUUUCCUGUUAAAAUACGGAUUCGGACGAAAAGCAACUUACUCGUGAGUAAAGACUGAAUCACUUGAAAUUAGAGACUUUAAACGAAAAACCUUAAAUUGGCUUGAACUUGGCUGAAAGCGGAGAGACGUGGAAACAGGAAGUCCGUCUUCCGCAGCCAUUGAACUUGAAAAAAGCAACUAAGUUGGAGGAGUGGAGGCUGAAAGGAAGAGAUUUUAAACUUUACAGAUCUAAGCAUCUACUGAACUUGCAAUUUAAAGUAAAGACUUUAAGCUAAAGACUUGGAAUUUUAACUUGCACUUUACUUUACCCCUUUUAUUGGAUUAAAAUUUACAAGGUGAAACCCAGAGUCAGGAUCUGACUGAGAAUUGAGAAAUUGAGCUGUCAGUAUUGCAGAUUUGGAUACUGUAUAUUGGAACUUGCAACAAUCUGAGGGUAUUGAGACUUUUAAAUUUGAAACAUUCUUUUUGGAGAUAAAUAAGCACUGUCUGUAACAAAGUGACUACUUAUAAACUCUGCUAAAUAUUUAUAUUUGAAGGUUCUUGGACAUUAAAUUAGACUCUGAAAGACAUUUUAAGCUCCCUCUAGAGGACUGGUACCUUUAAAGGGAGAAAGGUCAAAGUUAGAACAUUGGAAGAGAGAGACAAAUUUUUGGCUACAUACGGAGAGGACCUUCAAAAAGGAAUUGAAUUACCUUCUGGGCCUGGGGCAAAGCCAGCAUUAACACCAGCACCUGGGGAACCUGAAGAUCCAGAGAAGACACCACCCCUGGAGAAAUAACCAGAUAGAUCCAGGAUGUCUCUGCAAUUGCUGAGUUGGAACAUUAAUGGUUGUAAUAUUCCGGAAAAAGGAAGAAAAUAUUUCAUAUAUUAAAAAAGAACAAUUGGACAUUAUCUGUUUACAAGAAACACAUGUGACGAGGCUCCACAGAAAAGUGUUAAUAAAUAAAAGAUUGGGCCAGGAAUUUGUUUCGAUCGGACAAAGUUAAGAAGAGAGGCGUGGUGAUAUAUGCAAAGAGAGCCUGUCACCUAAAUUCUUAUUUAAAGAUGAACAUGGAAGAAUUUUGGCCAUUGAGAUACAAUAUCAAGGAGAGAAACUGUUGAUAUUAGGAAUCUAUGCACCUAAUGAAGGGAAAUCGGAAUUUUACAAGAAGCUGCAGGGGACAAUGCUGGAAUAUCUGGAUUACAACAACAUCAUAAUGAUGGGAGACAUGAACGGGUCGUGUCAACUAACAUGGACAAGUCACAAAGUCAAAAUGUUACAAAAGACGGCAGACUACCUAAAACUUUUUUGAAAUGACUGACAAUAUGGAUUUGAUUGACAUUUGGAGGACAAAGAACCCACUAGGUAGAGAAGGAACAUUCUUUUCUGAAGCCCAACUGACCUGGACAAGAAUCGACCAAAUAUGGAUUUCCAGAGGCCUGGCACCUAAGGUCAGAAAAGUGGAAAUCUGCCCAAAGACCUGCUCUGACCAUAAUGCAGUAAAGAUGGAUAUGACACUACUACCAACUGGAUCCUUUAGAUGGAAGAUGAAUGACAAUUUGUUUAGAGAUCAGGAAAUUACCAAGAAGGCCCAAAAAGUUUUGAAGGACUAUUUUGAGAUAAACAUGAACAAUUCGGUGGAAAAAGAAUUGUCUGGGACGCAAGCAAAGCUGUAAUGAGGGGAUUCUUGAUACAACAGAAUGUAGUAAAGAAAAGAACACAAAAUGAGAAAAAGAUAAGAUCUUGGACAAAUUAAAAGAAUUAGAGAAGAAAUUAAGAGCGAAUCCAAAGUCACAGCCAACUCUGAGAGAAAUUAAACUCUAUCAAACACAAUAUUCUAAAUUGAUAAAUCAGGAAAUUGAAUGGAAGGUUAAAUUAAUGAAACAAAAACGUUUGAGUCGGCGAAUAAAUGUGGAAAACUGCUAGCUUGGCAGUUGAAGAGAAGACAAAGAUUAAACACGGUUACAAACUUAGAGGUUGAUGGAAAAACAUUCAGAAUCCAGUGGAUAUUAGAAAGUGUUUCCAGAGAUAUUUUAAAAAUUAUACACCCAAGGGCCGCAAGACGAAGUUGAGAUUAAACAAUUUUUGGCAAAAAUGGAUUAUCUAAAUUGUCACAAGAAAACAGGACAAUCCUGAACUCUAAAAUAACACGACAGGAGAUUGAACAAGCUAUUCAGAACAUGCAACUUGGCAAAUCUCCAGGGCCAGAUGGGCUGACCUCCAAGUAUUAUAAGACAUUAAAAGACUAUUUGAUACAACCCUUGAUGGAGGUCUGCAAUGAAAUUAUGGAGGGAAGAGGGCACCGGAUUCGUGGAAGGAAGCGUUCAUCACAUUAAUACCAAAGUCAGAAGCUGAAAAGACACAACUGAAGAACUACCGUCCCAUCUCUCUUUUAAAUGUGGAUUACAAAAUAUUUGCAGAUAUUUUGGCAAGUAGAUUUAAAAAGUAUUAAAUGAAGUAAUUCAUAAGGACCAGGCCGGUUUUCUCCCAGGUAGACAUCUGUUUGCUAACACAAGGAACAUUAUUGACAUCUUGGAACUUCUGCAAACAGAUAUAAAUACAAAAGCAGUUUUAAUUUUCAUAGAUGCGGAGAAGGCCUUUGACAAUAUUUCCUGGAAAUUUAUGAUGGGAAAUUUAAAAGAGAUGGGAGUGGGACGGGGUUUUGAGAAUGGGAUUGAGGCGAUAUAUUCAGAACAGAAAGCUAAACUGAUAGUUAAUAAUGUGGUCACAGAAGAGUUCAAAAUUGAAAAAGGGACACGACAAGGUUGCCCCAUCUCCCCCUUGUUAUUUAUUUCGGUUCUGGAAGUGCUACUGAACAUGAUUAGAGGGGAUCGGUUGGUUGAAGGAAUUCAGGUUGGUCAGAAACAAUAUAAACUAAAAGCUUUUGCAGAUGACCUGGUUUUGACCUUGCAGAAGCCAGAGCCCAGUACGAAAAGAGUAUUACAAUUGAUUAAUGAUUUUGGUCGGGUGGCGGGAUUUAAAUUAAAUAAACAGAAAACUAAGGUUUUGGGGAAAAAUUUGACUGAUACAGAGUCAGAACGGUUUCAGAAUGAGACGGAACUUAAUGUGGUUAAAAAGUAAAAUACCUAGGGGUAAACAUAACAGCAAAAAUCUAAGUCUAUUUAAGGAUAACUAUGAAAAAUGUUGGACAGAAAUUAAGAGAGACUUAGACAGUUGGUCAAAAUUGAAACUUUCUUUGUUAGGCCGAAUUGCUGCUAUUAAGAUGAAUGUAUUGCCAAGGAUGUUGUUUUUAUUUCAAACACUUCAGGUUUUGGACAAAACGGAGUGCUUUCAGAAGUGGCAGAGAGAUAUUUCGAAGUUUGUCUGGCAGGGCAAAAGCCCAGAAUCAAGUUUAAGAUAUUAACUGAUGCAAAACAAAGAGGGGCUUUGCCCUGCCGGACUUAAAGUUGUAUUAUGAAGCCGCAGCGUUCUGCUGGCUAAAAGACUGGCUACUUCUUGAAGACACUGAUGUGUUGGAUUUGGAAGGGUUUAAUAAUGUUUUUGGAUGGCAUGCAUAUUUAUGGUAUGACAAAGUUAAAGCAAAUAAGGCCUUCAAGAACCAUAUUGUCAGAAAAUCAUUGUUUAAUGUCUGGACAAAAUAUAAAGACUUGCUGGAAAAUAAAACACCAAGGUGGCUUUCACCUUUGGAAGCUAAGGUCCGAAAAGACCCAAUAUGGAGGCUAAAUGGCCAAAAUAUUGGGAAAUACUAGAAAAGAUGGAGACAAUUGGAAAUUGCAGAGUUUGGAGAAAAUGAAAGACAAAGUGCGAGAUUGGUUACAUUACGCUCAGAUUAAAGAAGUUUUUAAAAAUGAUAAGAAACUAGGGUUCCAGGUGGAGAAAUCGAAAUUAGAAACAGAAUUGUUAGAACCAAAGACUAAGGUACUUUCAAGGAUGUAUAACUUGCUGUUGGAAUGGAAUACACAAGAUGAAAUGGUUAAAUCGGCUAUGAUAAGGUGGGCACAGGACAUUGGGUAUAAUAUUAUGUUUGAGGACUGGGAAAAGUUGUGGAGUAAUGGAUUGAAAUUUACUGCAUGUAACGCUCUGAAAGAAAAUGUAAUGAAAAUGAUUUAUAGAUGGUAUAUGACCCCAGUUAAACUUGCAAAAAUUUACCACCUGUCUGAUAAUAAGUGUUGGAAAUGUAAAGAGUGUGAGGGAACGUUCUUCCACCUCUGGUGGACCUGCCCUAAAGUGAAGGCGUUCUGGGAAAUGAUUUAUAAUGAAUUGAAAAGGUAUUUAAAUAUACCUUUACCAAGAAACCAGAGGCUUUCCUUCUGGGUAUUGUCAGCCAAGGGGUGGCAAAGAAGGACCAGACAUUUUUAUGUAUGCAACAACAGCAGCAAGGAUACUUCUUGCAAAACAUUGGAAAACUCAAGAUUUACCCACACUGGAAGAAUGGCAGAUGCAACUGAUAGACUACAUGGAACUGGCUGAAAUGACCGGCAGAAUCCGUGACCUGGGAGAAGAGAGAAUCGAGGAGGAUUGGAAGAAAUUUAAGAACUAUCUACAAAAAUAUUGUGAUUUGAGUGAAUGCUAAAUAAGAUGCUAGACUAAAUAACUGAGCACCACUUAACUUAGAAGUUUUUAAGAAAUUAAGUAAGACUGUGAAAGUUUAACUCUCUAUGAGAACUAUAAGAUUAUGAAACAUUGAAGAGAUAUAAGAAUUUAAAUAAGAUGAUAAAUUGCUGACAAAAUGUUAUAACGAUGAAAGUGGGAGCGGGGGAUGUGAGGAAGUCCAAAGAAAAUGUGAAACUAUGUUAAGACAAAUGUUAUAUUGUUUAUUAUGUUUAUUCUUAUUGUAAAACCCAAUAAAUCGCUUUAAAAAAAAAAAUAAAUAAAAUUGACAUAAACAAUCAGAAUCGUUUUCAGAAAAUAAUAUAUUGUUUACAUUUUCUCUUUCCGCCCCCCUUCUUGGGGGGAAAUGGAGUCAUCCCAUUAAGUAUUUGACACUCUGCAGUGUUUGUUAUGCUACUCCUUUCAUCGUUUUUUAUCUAAGAGGAGAUGAGGAAACAAUCCCUUUGGAUGUGGAAUAACCUUGUGUAAUGUGACAAUUGUUUCUUCCAAGCGUAUUUUAAUUAGAAAUAUAAUCCAAACUAAACACAGAUUAAAAACCAUGCUCCACAACUAUCAGGAUAUAUCAUAUACUCCCAUUUUACCCUAUCCUUGAUAAUAUGUUUUCUGUACAUCAUGGGGGUAGGGGGCACAUUUUAAAAGGCUCUAAUCUGUAUGGAAGGACAAUUCUUUCUUAGCUCAUUUAUGCAACUGUGACUGGUCUGCUGCCCCUGUCCAAUGUGCUGACCCUGUGGUUGGCUUGCUCAAUAAUGUAAUUAAAAUGGUUUCUGCUCUACUACCUUCCAGAAGAGGUGCUGGGGCACACCAUAGCCAUCAAAGACAAACAUUUAAAGCCUGUAGUCAACUUUGUUUGCCCAAGGGAUUGUGUGCAUGCUGUAAGUGUCUUAUUUGUUUUUUUCCGAGCAAGAGAUCUCCAGCACUGUUCAGUUUCUAAGGGCAGAGCAAGAUGUGAUGCGGAUAACAAGUCAGCACUGAGAAUAGCAAAUCCACGUCCAGUUCCACUUUCUCUCCCUCUAAUGUUUAGUAAGAGUAAUGAGUGCGUGUAGCAAUGGAGGAGACAAUCAGUUCAGUACACAGUAAAAGCUAAAUCUAUCAAAUUUGCUCUUUCCAAAACGAUACGUGAACAGGAACAAAGCUAUCCUUUGAUACUUGCAUUUAUUCUACUUUUGAAAAUUGUGCAUAAAAAUGAAGCUAUUGGUGAAUAUCACAUUUUAAAAGACACGGCCUUUCAAAUGAAAAAUGUGCAUUAGUCACAACUGCAUAUAAAAAUGUGUUUAUCGGGAGAAAUUCACACUGAAAUGACGAUUAGCAUACGAGGAUUUUUUUAAAAAAUGCAAAUGGCUGCAAAAUGUGGAGAACCGAACGGAUGAUUGGAAAAAUGAGAAAUGGAGAGGACCAAAAUGGACAGAUCCAGAUCUAUGGCGCCAUGAUAUUGCAGCUUUUGGGAGUUUGUGACCAAGAGCUCGCGAGCAGGCCUCACAAACAGGGGCAUUUGCAAGGAUUGCUGGAUGGGGCUUGUUUUGCUAAGCUGCCUAGGAGUUAGAGCAAGCAAGGAGUUCUUUUGGAUCUCAGCAGAUGGAGGAUUGGCAGAUGGUUAGAUGAAGAAGAAAAUGGUUUAUUGACUGACAAUAAUAACAACAACAACAACAACAACAACAACAACAACAACAAUAAUAUAUUAUUUAUACCCCACCCGUCUGGCUGGGUUUCCCCAGCCACUCUGGGUGGCUCCCAACAGAUUAAAAACAGAAUCAAACAAUAAAAACUUCCCUAACCAGGGCUGCCUUCAGAUGUCUUCUAAAAGUCAGAUAGUUGUUUAUUUCCUUGACAUUUGAUGGGAGGGCGUUC
This is a non-coding RNA of Podarcis lilfordi (Lilford's wall lizard), 18813 nucleotides long. Lineage: Eukaryota; Metazoa; Chordata; Lepidosauria; Squamata; Lacertidae. The record is from the annotation of a GenBank genome assembly.